GCAUAAUAACAUUGAUUUGAGAGUGAUUUCGAAGUUUUGAACAAGAAAUAAUUAUCUUGUAAUAUACAAUGAGAUGAAGCUCAAAAGGAAGAGACAUACGGAAGUCAAAGUGAUAUUUGGUAAAAUGUUUAUCUCGUUGAUGAGACACUUUUAAAAUGGUACAUGUAUAAAGCCAAAGACAAUGCACCCACAAUAUGUUGUUACAUUAGAAUAUAGCCAUCAAGGUCGCUUCUCCUAACACUUUUAAAAUGGUACAUGUAUAAAGCCAAAGACAAUGCACCCACAAUAUGUUGUUACAUUAGAAUAUAGCCAUCAAGGUCGCUUCUCCUAACACAUGUCCUUCAAUGGUAUCUUCCAACAACUUCUCCUUCGUCA
Molecule: long non-coding RNA, 375 nt
Filed under: Glycine max (soybean)
Lineage: Eukaryota; Viridiplantae; Streptophyta; Magnoliopsida; Fabales; Fabaceae
Description: long non-coding RNA (GMAX_LNC000543)
Source: RNAcentral